RNAcentral lists this unclassified non-coding RNA (286 nucleotides) under uncultured fungus. RNAcentral's name for it is "partial contains 5.8S rRNA and ITS2". The record is from RNAcentral. Lineage: Eukaryota; Fungi.
AACGCACCUUGCGCCCUUUGGCAUUCCGAAGGGCACGCCUGUUUGAGUGUCGUGAACUCCUCCACCCUCUCCUUUUUCGAAAGGUGUUGGGCUGGGAUUUGGGAGCUUGCAGGUCCCUGGCCGAUCUGCUCUCCUUGAAUACAUUAGCGAAGCCCUUGCGGCCUUGGUGUGAUAGUCAUCUACGCCUCGGCUUAGCGAACUUAUGGGAGUCGCUUCUAAUCGUCUCGCAAGAGACAACUUUUACCAACUUGACCUCAAAUCAGGCGGGACUACCCGCUGAACUUAA